This is a long non-coding RNA of Cyprinus carpio (common carp), 1684 nucleotides long. The record is from Ensembl. NCBI's taxonomy places the organism in Eukaryota, Metazoa, Chordata, Actinopteri, Cypriniformes, Cyprinidae.
CCCUGUCUCUACAUGUCACAUAGCAUAGCUCUCUACAGUCCUGAAGGGGGAAAAAAAAACAUUUUCUCAUCUUUACAGCUCUGAUAUCGUGUUGAAGCAGCUGGCUGAAACACCUCAGGCUCUGAGCUUGACUAUGCAAGUAUUUCCUUCGAAUCCCUUACUGCACCCCUUCUGUAUCCAGCAUGAGAGGAUUGAUCCAAGCAUUUGAUUCACAGCACUGAUGUAAAUCCUUGGCCUGAGUGAUUGUCUGUUUUUAGGACAGGUAGAUACAUGUAGCUGCGGCCGUUCAUGGAAUCACUGUCAGGCCUGGAUAAGCUUACACGGGGAGUGUUGAGCAUCCAAACACUAAGACCAUCUAUACAUCAUACUGUAUAUAUAGCCAACUGUUGCAGCAUGAUCUUCACAGAAACCUGGCUGGAUUACACCACCCCAGACGCGGCUAUUGAGCUAGCUGGCCUUACCGUCUACCGAGCUGACAGAACAGCUGACUCAGGAAAGAAGAUCGGCGGAGGCUUGUGUAUUUACUCUAACAACUCUUGUUGUACAAAUACCAUUGUAGUUGAAAGACGCUGUUGCCCUGAUGUGGAGUUUAUGCUGCUUAAAUGUAGACCGUUUUAUCUCUUUCUGUGGUGUAUAUUUGUGCUGUGUAUAUCCCCCCAGACACUAAUGCUAAACUGGCUCUAGCACAGCUACACAACAGCAUUAAUAACAGCCUGGCUGCACACCCUGACAGUGUCUUUAUGUAAGCGGGGGAUUUUAAUCAUGCUGAUUUAAAAACUGUAUUUCACAAAUUCCAUCGUAAUGUGAACUGUGCAACUAGAGAUAAAACACUGGACCAGGUGUAUACCAAUGUGACUAAUGUGCUUAAAAAAGUCCAGGCAUAUCCUCAGUUGUGUUUGAGCGAUCAUAUCUCACUCAUGCUCUAUCCUUGGUAUACACCCACUAUUAAGACUGCUGGACCCAUGGUGGAGCCAGUUCAAACAUGGCCUAAAAAUGCUAUCCCUGAGCUACAGGGUUGCUUCCACUACACAAACUGGGAUGUUUUCAGAGACCGGGAAUUAUUAACACGCCAGACCCUUGAUGAGUACACCACUACAGUGAUGGAUUAUAUUAAUUUCUGUGUAGACAGGGUUACAUUCUGGAAGGUUACAUUCCAUGUCUUUCCUAACCAAAAACCAUGGAUGACACAUUAAAGCCAGGGAUGCAGCCUAUAGGUCUGGGGAAAGGGGGGCUUACAGCACAGCCAGGAGUGCUCUUAGAAGGGGUAUCAGGUCUGCCAAACUGGAUUACAAAAGGCGGAUUGCAGCCCAUUAUAACACCUCUACAAACUCCAGACAGGUGUGGGAGGGAAUUAGGGCAAUAUUGGACUACAAGGGAGCAACAUCUGCCUCUGUGAGUACUGUAGUACUUCCACUCUAGCAGAGGAAUCAAUGCUCAUUUUUAUACCCAUUUUGGUAGGGAAAACAAGGACACUUUGUUGCCCCAUCUGCCCUCCAACAACAACACUGCACCAGUCUUGAGCCUUCAUGAAGUGAGACUCUGUCUGAGCAAAAUCAACCCCAGGAAGGCAUCCGGUCCAGACGGUGUGCUGGGCCGGGUGCUAAAGGACUGUGCGGCCAGGCUGGCAGAGGUCUUCACCACCAUCUUCAACCUGUCACUGCCCAAGGCAUGGGUCCCAGCAUGU